Molecule: ribosomal RNA, 253 nt
Filed under: uncultured bacterium
Lineage: Bacteria
Description: partial 16S ribosomal RNA
Rfam family: Bacterial small subunit ribosomal RNA
Source: RNAcentral
GACGAACCGGACAACCGUUAUUCGGAAUUACUGGGCUUAAAGGGUUCGUAGGCGGCCAUGUAAGUGCGGUGUGAAAUCCCUCGGCUCAACCGAGGAACUGCGCUUCAUACUGCAUGGCUUGAGGGAGACAGGGGUAAGCGGAACUGAUGGUGGAGCGGUGAAAUGCGUUGAUAUCAUCAGGAACACCGGUGGCGAAAGCGGCUUACUGGGUCUCUUCUGACGCUGAGGAACGAAAGCUAGGGUAGCGAACGGG